CAGUACAGAAGGAGUUGCUGGGCUGAGAGGAUACACGAGGAAGACGUCCCCAUCGUGAGCUGUUCUUCGUACUGCAUUGGGUGGUAUUGUGAAAGUUGGUGGCCAGGGUCUCCGGACGGUCUUUGAAGUAUCUGGGGCCCCCCCCCCCCCCCCCUAUGCAUGCAUGCCGCGCAACCCCCCAGACGGCUGGUAGAUACCCAAUUCUUUCAAGGAGGCCCAACAACGGAGCUGAGGGUGUCUGAAAGAGCCCACCUUUCCACCCGAUGGCACGGGAUAGGUCUCUGAACCCACGCCCUAGCAACCCGCCGAAGCGCAAGGCAGAGAGACUACAACGGGAGCCCCCAACACGUGGAAGUUUUAAGAUUUUGGGAGCAUUUUUUUAAAGAUUGACUUAGCUUUGUUUUAAGAUUGAAUUUUAGUUUCAUUCUUUCCACAAUUUUUUUUUCUAUAUUAAAAGAUAGUUUAAGCAUCUAUAUAAAGUUUUAUUAACUAGAUGGAAGCCAUAAACCUCCAGAUGCUAAAAACUGAGGGUUUGCCAAACGUGUCUGGUUGUAACGAUUCCCUAAACGUUAGUAAGAAUUCCCUGAGCUUUAUGGGAGCUGGACACUAAGAGUGAAGAGCUUGGUUAACACCCUCAAAUGGUUUAACUGCAGGUGCAAGAGUGAUUAGCAGUAGUUUGUUUCAUUUCGGUAAUUUGUGGCUGUACCUAGAUUAUAUUAGUGCAUAUACGCUUUUCUGCCAUAAUUGUUGCAGCCCAAAUUUACUGUUCUGUACUGGUUGGUAUGUAGUACACUAUUAAAAAAAAAUACUACUUUUUAUUAAUACUAAUAAUAUAACUAAUACUUAAGGUGUUGGAAAGGUACUUUGAAAACCAGUUUGUAAGUUUUAUUAAUGUAUAGAAUUACAGAUCCUGUAGUCAUAGUAAUUCAACAGAAGUUGAGCAGACUCCUGGGGAAAAGAUCUUCAUUAUUUGGUGUGGCACAGGACCAUCUUGCAGGUGCAGUGCUUGGCAGUUUGGCUCUUCUGUAUUGGUUGUGAAAAAAAUAGACAUUGUGACUUUGAAUUCUGUUGUUGAAUGCAUGGUGUGGAUAUGGUGGAAAAGGGUGGGUGCUGAUGGUGGGUGACUGUACUACACAGCAGGAUUAAAAGACAAUGGUGGGAAAUCUGAAUUAAAUUUAUUAAUUUAGUUGGUAAAGUGGGGGAGUGUGGGAGGGGGGCUUGUCCUUCCAACCAGGUGGUUCUGGACAGUGAUCUCUUGCAUGACCUUUGCCAACAAUCCUCUGCAUCCUCACUGAUCUCUGAUCAAGGACUGGUGUAAUGAUUUCAUGGCAUCAAAUUCUGUUUCCAUGAAGUAUAUACUUGUCCAAAUCCCCAAAGCCCCUAUUAGCCCUGUGUAAUAUUAUAAAAUGCCAUCCUCUUGGUCUAAUCUCUCCUCUUAGAUUACCUGUCUUCUCCCCUUUUAGAUUAGAUAUAGCUGCAGCAAUUGUUAUGGGCAACCCAAGAUGUUAAGGCCUGUCCACAAGACCUAGCAGUGCCCUUGAGCACAGGCGAGUGCUCUGCCUGUUGAUAGGCUUACAGCUUGUGCCUGCUGAAUACCUAGUAGGUUUUAUGGGAGCACAAGGGGUAAGCCUGUUGAGACAGGAGGCUUGCCUGUGCUUGAGGGCACUGAUGGAUGGUGUGGACAGGCCUUGAUGAGUAACUCAGGAUGUGCAUUGUAUUAU
Long non-coding RNA from Eriocheir sinensis (Chinese mitten crab), 1721 nucleotides. RefSeq lists it as uncharacterized. The record is from RefSeq and is a predicted model, not a curated record. The transcript has 2 exons. NCBI's taxonomy places the organism in Eukaryota, Metazoa, Arthropoda, Malacostraca, Decapoda, Varunidae.